UCGCCUGUUUUUCAAAAACAUGGUUUCUUGAAUUUAUUUAAGAAAUUUGGCCUGCCCACUGAAAAUUUUUGAAGGGCCGCAGUAUUUUGACUGUGCAAAGGUAGCAUAAUCAUUAGUCUUUUAAUUAAGGGCUGGAAUGAAUGGUUGGACGAGGUAAAAUCUGUUUUAUGUAAAUUUAGUUGAAUUUAGAUUUUAAGUAAAAAUACUUAAAUUUUAUUAAGGGACGAGAAGACCCUAUAGAGUUUAAUAUAUUAAAUAAUUAAUUGAGUUAAUUAAAAAUUUUUGAUUAUUAUGGUUUAUAUUUAAUUGGGGUGAUUGGAAGAUAAAAAUAACUCUUCUUUAUAAUUAAUAUAGUUAAUAAUUUAAUGAUCCAUAUUUAAUGAUUAAAAGAUUAAAUUACCUUAGGGAUAACAGCAUAAUUCUUUUUAAGAGUUCAUAUCGAAAAAGGAGAUUGUGACCUCGAUGUUGGAUUAAGAUUAGUUUUGGGUGUAGAUGUUCAAUAACUUGGUCUGUUCGACCUUUAAAAUCUUACAUGAUCUGAGUUCAAACCGGAGA
RNAcentral lists this ribosomal RNA (555 nucleotides) under Galinthias amoena. RNAcentral describes it as "partial 16S ribosomal RNA". It matches the Rfam family "Bacterial large subunit ribosomal RNA", at positions 1796 to 2622 of the family's 2925-position model. Lineage: Eukaryota; Metazoa; Arthropoda; Insecta; Mantodea; Hymenopodidae. The record is from RNAcentral.